UACGUAGGGGGCAAGCGUUAUCCGGAUUUACUGGGUGUAAAGGGAGCGUAGGCGGUGCAGCAAGUCAGAAGUGAAAGCCCGGGGCUCAACUCCGGGACUGCUUUUGAAACUGUUGAACUAGAUUGCAGGAGAGGUAAGUGGAAUUCCUAGUGUAGCGGUGAAAUGCGUAGAUAUUAGGAGGAACACCAGUGGCGAAGGCGGCUUACUGGACUGUAAAUGACGCAGAGGCUCGAAAGCGUGGGGAGCAAACAGG
RNAcentral lists this ribosomal RNA (253 nucleotides) under uncultured bacterium. RNAcentral describes it as "partial 16S ribosomal RNA". It matches the Rfam family "Bacterial small subunit ribosomal RNA", at positions 524 to 776 of the family's 1533-position model. The record is from RNAcentral.